UAACUGGGCGUAAAGGGCACGCAGGCGGUGACUUAAGUGAGGUGUGAAAGCCCCGGGCUUAACCUGGGAAUUGCAUUUCAUACUGGGUCGCUAGAGUACUUUAGGGAGGGGUAGAAUUCCACGUGUAGCGGUGAAAUGCGUAGAGAUGUGGAGGAAUACCGAAGGCGAAGGCAGCCCCUUGGGAAUGUACUGACGCUCAUGUGCGAAAGCGUGGGGAGCAAACAGGAUUAGAUACCCUGGUAGUCCACGCUGUAAACGAUGUCGAUUUGGGGGUUGAGCUUUAAGUUUGGCGCCCGUAGCUAACGUGAUAAAUCGACCGCCUGGGGAGUACGGCCGCAAGGUUAAAACUCAAAUGAAUUGACGGGGGCCCGCACAAGCGGUGGAGCAUGUGGUUUAAUUCGAUGCAACGCGAAGAACCUUACCUACUCUUGACAUCCAGAGAACUUUCCAGAGAUGGAUUGGUGCCUUCGGGAACUCUGAGACAGGUGCUGCAUGGCUGUCGUCAGCUCGUGUCGUGAGAAG
RNAcentral lists this ribosomal RNA (522 nucleotides) under uncultured bacterium. Its description in RNAcentral is "bacterial SSU rRNA". It matches the Rfam family "Bacterial small subunit ribosomal RNA", at positions 551 to 1074 of the family's 1533-position model. The record is from RNAcentral.